UGGCCGAGCAUUGACGUAGAGGCACGAAAGUGUGGGAGACAAACCGAGGUGGGAUACCCUGGUAGUCCACGCCGUAAACGAUGGCAAAUAGGCACCGGGCUCACUGUAGAGGUCGGUGGGGCAGAAUAACGCAUUAAGUUGAACCGCAUGGGGAGUACGGCCGCAAGGUUGAAAUUCAAAGGAAUUGACGGGGGGCCGCGCAAGCGGGAGAGCAUGUGGUUUAAUUCGAUGCAACGCGAAGGAACCUUACCUGGUCUUGACAUGUAGUGAACUUAGCAGAAAUGUUUUGGUGCCUUCGGGAACACUAACACAGGUAAUGCAGGGCUGUCGUCAGCUCGUGUCGUGAAAUGUUGGGUUAAGUCACGCAACGAGCGCAACCCCUGUCCCUAGUUGCCAGCAAGUAAUGGUGGGAACUCUAGGGAGACUGCCGGUGACAAACCGGAGGAAGGUGGGGAUGACGGCAAGUCAUCAUGGCCCUUAUGGCCAGGGCUACACACGUGCUACAAUGGGCAGUACAGAGGGAAGCAAAAUCGCGAGAUCAAGCAAAUCCCAGAAAGCUGUCCGUAGUCCGGAUCGGAGUAUGCAACUCGACUCCGUGAAGUCGGAAUCGCUAGUAAUCGCGAAUCAGCAUGUCGCGGUGAAUACGUUCCCGGGCCUUGUACACACCGCCCGUCACACCAUGGGAGUUUGUUGCACCAGAAGCAGGUAGUCUAACCGAAAGGAGGGCGCUUGCCACGGUGUGGCCGAUGACUGGGGUGCAGUCGUAACAAGGUAGCC
Molecule: ribosomal RNA, 777 nt
Filed under: uncultured Gammaproteobacteria bacterium
Lineage: Bacteria; Pseudomonadati; Pseudomonadota; Gammaproteobacteria
Description: bacterial SSU rRNA
Rfam family: Bacterial small subunit ribosomal RNA
Source: RNAcentral